This 434-nucleotide ribosomal RNA is filed under the name uncultured bacterium. RNAcentral describes it as "bacterial SSU rRNA". It matches the Rfam family "Bacterial small subunit ribosomal RNA", at positions 29 to 484 of the family's 1533-position model. The record is from RNAcentral.
AACGAACGCUGGCGGCAGGCUUAACACAUGCAAGUCGAACGAUGUAGCAAUACAUAGUGGCGCACGGGUGAGUAACGCGUGGGAAUAUACCUUAUAGUGGGGAAUAACUUUGGGAAACUAAAGCUAAUACCGCAUACGCCCGAGAGGGGAAAGAUUUAUCGCUAUAAGAUUAGCCCGCGUGAGAUUAGGUAGUUGGUGGGGUAAUGGCCUACCAAGCCUACGAUCUCUAGCUGGUCUGAGAGGAUGAUCAGCCACACUGGAACUGAGACACGGUCCAGACUCCUACGGGAGGCAGCAGUGGGGAAUAUUGGGCAAUGGACGCAAGUCUGAUCCAGCCAUUCCGCGUGCAGGAUGAAGGCCCUCGGGUUGUAAACUGCUUUUGUACGGAACGAAAGGUUUCUCUUAAUACGAGGAGCUCAUGACGGUACCGUAAG